This 253-nucleotide ribosomal RNA is filed under the name uncultured bacterium. Its description in RNAcentral is "partial 16S ribosomal RNA". It matches the Rfam family "Bacterial small subunit ribosomal RNA", at positions 524 to 776 of the family's 1533-position model. The record is from RNAcentral.
UACGAAGGGGACUAGCGUUGUUCGGAAUUACUGGGCGUAAGGCGCACGUAGGCGGAUUUGUUAGUCAGGGGUGAAAUCCCGGGGCUCAACCUCGGAACUGCCUUUGAUACUGCAAGUCUCGAGUCCGAUAGAGGUGGGUGGAAUUCCUAGUGUAGAGGUGAAAUUCGUAGAUAUUAGGAAGAACACCGGUGGCGAAGGCGGCCCACUGGAUCGGUACUGACGCUGAGGUGCGAAAGCGUGGGGAGCAAACAGG